Molecule: ribosomal RNA, 444 nt
Filed under: uncultured bacterium
Lineage: Bacteria
Description: partial 16S ribosomal RNA
Rfam family: Bacterial small subunit ribosomal RNA
Source: RNAcentral
GUAGGGAAUAUUGGGCAAUGGUCGGAAGACUGACCCAGCCAUGCCGCGUGCAGGAAGACGGCCCUCUGGGUUGUAAACUGCUUUUAUCUGGGAAGAAAAAGGCCAUGCGUGGCAAAUUGCCGGUACCAGAUGAAUAAGCACCGGCUAACUCCGUGCCAGCAGCCGCGGUAAUACGGAGGGUGCGAGCGUUGUCCGGAUUUAUUGGGUUUAAAGGGUGCGUAGGCGGCUGAUUAAGUCAGCGGUGAAAGACUUCGGCUUAACCGGAGCAGUGCCGUUGAUACUGGUUGGCUUGAGUGUCGGAGGGGUACAUGGAAUUGAUGGUGUAGCGGUGAAAUGCAUAGAUACCAUCAGGAACACCGAUAGCGAAGGCAUUGUACUGGCCGACAACUGACGCUGAUGUACGAAAGUGUGGGGAUCGAACAGGAUUAGAAACCCUAGUAGUCC